GACGAACGCUGGCGGCGUGCUUAACACAUGCAAGUCGAACGGAAAGGCCCUGCUUUUGUGGGGUGCUCGAGUGGCGAACGGGUGAGUAACACGUGAGUAACCUGCCCUUGACUUUGGGAUAACUUCAGGAAACUGGGGCUAAUACCGGAUAGGAGCUCCUGCUGCAUGGUGGGGGUUGGAAAGUUUCGGCGGUUGGGGAUGGACUCGCGGCUUAUCAGCUUGUUGGUGGGGUAGUUGCUUACCAAGGCUUUGACGGGUAGCCGGCCUGAGAGGGUGACCGGCCACAUUGGGCCUGAGAUACGGCCCAGACUCCUACGGGAGGCAGCAGUGGGGAAUAUUGCACAAUGGGCGGAAGUCUGAUGCAGCAACGCCGCGUGCGGGAUGACGGCCUUCGGGUUGUAAACCGCUUUCGCCUGUGACGAAGCGUGAGUGACGGUAAUGGGUAAAGAAGCACCGGCUAACUACGUG
RNAcentral lists this ribosomal RNA (468 nucleotides) under uncultured bacterium. RNAcentral describes it as "partial 16S ribosomal RNA". It matches the Rfam family "Bacterial small subunit ribosomal RNA", at positions 28 to 507 of the family's 1533-position model. The record is from RNAcentral.